UAUUAUACGUGUCUUGAGAGGUGGUCAGUGACGGAGGAGGGAAAAGCAGACUUGGCAUCAAACAUGGAUGACAGAAAAUCCAAAACCAAACAAAAUCAGUUGAUGUACAUAUAGUUAAUUUCUGUAUAGGGUGAUCUUAUUAUUAUGUGAACAUUUUGUAUGCAAAGAUUUCGAAGGCCAUCCAUGGUUUACUGACAGGCAAAUACCUCUAAUUGUGUCAUCUUUUGGUGUGCAAAAUUGGGUAUCUAUUGCAACAACUGGAAAGCACAUUGGCUGCAGAUAAACCAAAGUUCCUCAUUAUCAAGUGUAGCCGUUUCACUUCAAUUCAUUUUUGGCUACAUACUAACCUUCAGGGUAAUGGUGCCAAAAAUCGAGACAGUAAAGGCAGAGAAAGGUUAUUAACCUCAACUUUUUCUCUAUAUAUAUCCAGGUUGGAGACGGUAAUAUAGAAGCUGAGUCUAUGCAUGUAUGACUUGAGAGUGUUUAGUCUCUAUUCUUUUUCCCUUUACGUUUCUCUCAGAGCUUGAGGAAGUGGAUAUUUUGAUCGCCUAGCUAGCAAAGAGAAGAGACUGAAACUAAUCUUAGCUUAACUCUCUUCACCGGUGUUUAUCGGCUAGAGUUUAUUCAAGGAAAUUAAAACUGUCUCUACUGUGUCUGUGUUCCAUACCAGUUAUGGAUUUUCCCAGUGAAAAGGGUUUUUUCGGCAAGGCAAAGUCUGUAGCUUCAUCCAUUUAUGGAUUCAUAUUAUGGUCAGUAGCCUUGCCAUCUGCCAUUCAAAUUCAAAACAAUAUUGGCCAAUAUCUCCUGGUCUCAAAACCCUAAUUUACUCACCAAAAGAAUCUCCUCAAAACCCAAAUCAUCAUCGCUUCAUUAUCCAUUCUUACAUGAUAUCAUCAUCAUUUUUAUCACCAUCUAGCUCCAGUACUUCUCCCUCGUCGUUUCGAUCACUGACUACUUCCUCAUCAUACUCCUCUUGUUCCUCUGUGUUGGGCGAUUUGAUUGGGACAGAGAGUGGUGUUUACUUGGACUGCAUAAGUGAAGAAGAAACAGAAGCAAGAAUGGAGAAACAACAGCCAUAUCAUCGUAAUCUUAGCAAGCGAAAUCAGCAGCGGUGUGAAAUGAGGAAGAAAUAUCCACCACCUAUUCCUUUACUAGCAAGAACAGGCAAUUUGCCUGGUCAUAUGCCUUGAAUUUAACUAGGCAUUAUUCUAAUGGAAGAUUGAUCCUUAGAGAAGAGAGAGUGAAGCAUCACGAGUACUUUGAAGCAUAUAGAGAAGAUGGCCGACUCAUCUUGAAGCUUGUACCUUUGGAUGAUACAGUUAGAUGCUGCCAUUCCGUUUAUUAUGAUGAACAAGAGGAGCUAGAGCUACAAGAUCUUGAGCCGGUCGAAGAAGAAGAAAAAGAAGGAACCCAUGAAAACAUAGAUGAAGAAGAAGAAAUAGAAGCAGAUGAACAAACUGAAGAUGACAAUUAUUUAGAUUAUAAGAUAAUUAACGAAAAAUUAAUGGGUGUAGCAUCGGCUUCUUCAGUGCCAAAAUCAAGUUUUGAGAAUGGAAGUGAUGAAAGGCCUGGAGAAGUACGCAAGUGUUUGACGUAUGAAGGUAGGAAGAUAUUAGACUCUAUUUGUCUUGCAAUGCAAAUGCUCAUAGAAAUGGUGGUGCCUACAUGGCUCGAUCUGGCUCUGCAGCUACUUUGUCCUUCACUAUUCGUCCAAUGGCCACUGUGGUGUAGCUGGAUUAAUUAAUUAAUUAUCACUUGUAAUUAA
Molecule: long non-coding RNA, 1765 nt
Organism: Hevea brasiliensis (rubber tree)
Lineage: Eukaryota; Viridiplantae; Streptophyta; Magnoliopsida; Malpighiales; Euphorbiaceae
Exons: 2
Source: RefSeq, a predicted model, not a curated record